CCUUAGAACACCACGACUUUGGAUAGGGCGUCGACAGUGGUGAACGUGACACGAUAAAGCUUUGAGUCGUGCAUGACAAAUGAAGCUACUGAAGCUGCAAGCCUGUUCAUGGGCGUGCAGGAGAGGGAAUGAAAAACCAUGAACUGCACCCGGAGAUGCUCUUGUGAAUACGGUUUCGGACGCGGGUUCAAUUCCCGCCGCCUCCACCA
Molecule: transfer-messenger RNA, 209 nt
Filed under: Clostridiaceae bacterium
Lineage: Bacteria; Bacillati; Bacillota; Clostridia; Eubacteriales; Clostridiaceae
Description: partial transfer-messenger RNA
Rfam family: transfer-messenger RNA
About the family: Bacterial tmRNA, also known as 10Sa RNA or SsrA, is named for its dual tRNA and mRNA-like properties. Its role is to liberate the mRNA from a stalled ribosome. To accomplish this part of the tmRNA is used as a reading frame that ends in a translation stop signal.
Source: RNAcentral